RNAcentral lists this ribosomal RNA (468 nucleotides) under uncultured bacterium. RNAcentral describes it as "partial 16S ribosomal RNA". It matches the Rfam family "Bacterial small subunit ribosomal RNA", at positions 28 to 507 of the family's 1533-position model. The record is from RNAcentral.
GACGAACGCUGGCGGCGUGCUUAACACAUGCAAGUCGAACGGAAAGGCCCUGCUUGUGUGGGGUUCUCGAGUGGCGAACGGGUGAGUAACACGUGAGUAACCGGCCCUUGACUUUGGUGUAACUUCAGGAAACUGGGGCUAAUACCGUAUAGGAUCUCCUGCACCAUUGUGGGGGUUGGAAAGUUUAGGUUGGUGGGGAUGGACUCGCGGCUUAACAGCUUGUUGGUUGGGGAGUGGCUUACCAAGGCUUUGGCGGGUAGCCGGCCUGAGAGGGUGACCGGCGACAUUGGGACUGAGAUACGGACCAGAGUCCUAUGGGAGGCAGCAGUGGGGAGUCUUGCCCAAUGGGAGGGAGCCUGAUGAAGAGACGCCGCGUGCGGGAUGACGGCCUGCGGGUUGUAAAACGCUUUAGGCUGUGACGAAGCGUGACUGACGGUAAUGGGUAAAGAAGCACCGGCUAACUACGUG